CUGGUGUUUCAUCGUCUUUUUCUUGUGAAGAGAGAGUGAGAUGGGAGUGGAAAAAGCAGAGGCGUUGUUGGAUUCGUUGAUCGCCGGGUUCAACAGUCAGAUCUUAGAGCUCCAAGAGCUCGUUAUUGCUCGAAAUAUGCUCAAGCUCAGAUAUAUGGGUUAAUUUCAUUUCUGGUGGCUGGAGAAAACUGAAAAAGAAAUUAGGGAUCAUGUCUCAAUUUGUUUCAAGCUUUUCAGAAUGAGUCUACGGAUUAUAUAUGGUGGCAGGUAAAUGGGUCUAGACUUUGUUUAUAGCAUGAUUUUGAUGUUUUGGCAGGGAUUUGGGUAUUUGUUUCUGGUGGCUGCAGAAUAUUUGGUUCAGGGCGAUGGGCUACGGACAUCUUUUUGUAGAAGUACUUCUUUUUGC
Molecule: long non-coding RNA, 406 nt
Organism: Rosa chinensis
Lineage: Eukaryota; Viridiplantae; Streptophyta; Magnoliopsida; Rosales; Rosaceae
Exons: 3
Source: RefSeq, a predicted model, not a curated record